Molecule: ribosomal RNA, 281 nt
Filed under: uncultured Glomus
Lineage: Eukaryota; Fungi; Glomeromycota; Glomeromycetes; Glomerales; Glomeraceae
Description: partial 18S ribosomal RNA
Rfam family: Eukaryotic small subunit ribosomal RNA
Source: RNAcentral
CUCCAAUAGCGUAUAUUAAAGUUGUUGCAGUUAAAAAGCUCGUAGUUGAAUUUCGGGACCAUCAUGUCGGUCGUGCCUUGGUACGUACUGGUAUUGUUGGUUUCUCCCUUCUGACGAACCAUGAUGUCAUUUAUUUGGUGUCGUGGGAAAUCAGGACUGUUACUUUGAAAAAAUUAGAGUGUUUAAAGCAGGCUCACGCUUGAAUACAUUAGCAUGGAAUAAUGAAAUAGGACGUUUGAUUCUAUUUUGUUGGUUUCUAGGAUCGACGUAAUGAUUAAUAG